Long non-coding RNA from Lolium rigidum, 945 nucleotides. RefSeq lists it as uncharacterized. Lineage: Eukaryota; Viridiplantae; Streptophyta; Magnoliopsida; Poales; Poaceae. The record is from RefSeq and is a predicted model, not a curated record. The transcript has 2 exons.
AGUUCAGUAUUAUGAUAGUAUCAGUGAAAUUGACCAUGCCAAUGUUUUCUUCCUCUCUAGAAGUGCGAUAUUUUAUUCCGCAAAAGGAAGCCAUUGGUGCAAAAGAGGUCAAGCUUUGAUUCUAUUUGAGUUUAUGCUCUCUUUGUAAUCCCGUUUUCCUUUCUAAUUAGCAUUUGAUUGUGUUUCAAUGGCAAGAUGAAGUAUAGUUGGCAUUUGCAAAUACACUGCAAGAUGGAAAGUACAAGAAAUCUGUGAAAAGAUGCCAAUGAUAUUCUAAUACAAAGUAGGUUGCAAUGGGUCAUCAAGACUAUGGGAGAUAAGAACACCAGCAAUUCAGGCAACAACACUCCCUAUUCAUUGCAGUUUUUAUCUUCUUGGAAGAAAUUAUCUUGCAAGCUGAUAAAACUUAUAAAAGGAGACUGGGACAUACUGUUGGCCGGCCUUGCCAUUGCCGUCAUCAGAGACCAUUUGCACGUGUGUGCCAUGCGCUGCUAUUGGUGAGAUUUCUUGGUCUUUAGUUUGCUACCCCCAUUUGUAAUUACUCAAUAAGUAAGACUAAGCAGCUUUUCUAUCUGGACCUUGGUGCAUAAAUUUCUUGGGCAACUGAAUCCGAAAUAAGCAGCUUAGUCUUAGUUGUAGAUGCUAGCGACUGUGUUACCACACCAUGAUUAUACUGUAGGUAGGUUGAGAUGUGCAGGGUGUCGCAUUCGCUGAUGAAUAUUAGUCAAUAGGUAUCAGAAAUCGGUCAAUUACGCGAGAAGUUUAAGUGUUGCUUUCUUGUGGAGAGCACUGAUGGCUGGAGAUUACUGAAGCACUUUGUUUGUUCAAGUUAGAUGCUACAGAUUUUCAUUGUAAAUACUACUGGUUGUUUAACUGAAUGAAGUUAUUUAAGUUUAGAUGUGUUGUGCCUCUGAACUCUUUCCUCAAUGAAGGUACAAUAUGCAA